AUCUAUAUCACUAAAGCACUUCUGGAUGGAUGCAAACUGCAUUUCGUUGCCCUGUACCUGUGCAUGUGCAAUGACAAUAAAGUUGAAUUCUAUUCUAUUCUAUUCUAAUUAGAGAGCAAACCUGCCACUUAGUGCAAAUUAAUAUCAGCCGGUUCAGUCCAACUGAAGGCCUGUAAAAAGGUGUGUAAUUCCCAACGUGUCACACAAGAACCAGCUCAUGAUUGGUAAAAACCAGUAGGCCCUUUCAAGAUGGUCACAGCCUUAUUGGUGCUAAACAUAUGCAUAUUACCCCAACAACACCACACCAACAGUGAAGUUUGGAGGUGGGAACAUCAUGGUGUGGGGCUGUUUUUCAACCAAUGGCGCUGACACGCUUCAUAUGACUGAGGGAAGGAUAAAUGUGAACAUGUACCGAGACAUCCUGCCAUCUUCCAGGAUGAUGAAGAUGAAACGGAGGUGGAUGUUUUCACCAAGACAAUGAUCGCAAACACACAAGGAAACUCUCAAUUGGCUUUCGAAAAAGAAAAAAAAAAGAUGGCUCAGCCAAUCACCUGACCUGAAUCCAAUUGAAAAUAUAUGGAAAGAACUAAAGCUAAGAGUUUGCGGGAUGGACGGAACCGUCAGGCUUUCAUGGCCAAAAUCACAUUGUGUGUCCAAAACUACUUACCGUCACCUUUGUUCAUUUACAAAAUCUGUACAGUAUUCAUCGCUACUUUACUCAAAUAAUGUAAACUAACCAGCCAAACAACAACUCACCCUUAAGCCUUUAUGAGCUGCUGGGCCAUUCCGGCCUCAAAGAUCCCAGCAAGCUUCACUAUCAGAGCCUCUGUUCAGUGUCCAGCCACGUUGCUACCUGAUUCAGGUUCCCCUCACUCUUCUAUCAAGCUCUCUCAUUAUCCAGAAUUUCUUCUGAUUUCUUCUCCUGGCAUUCCUUUUUGCUGGCACCUUCCCUUAACUCCCAGUCCCAAGCUUGCCUACCAGUUACAUAUUUGCAACAAUCUUUGACCUUUGUAACAUACAGUCAUCACUGGUUCCAGUGCAUGACUUCUUUGGGGAUCUGCCUGAAGCCGUUCCCAAACUGCAGCCUUGAUUCAUGCUCAAGCCAUUAUCUACUAGAAGUGGUGUCAAAACUAAAAUGAGGAUGUGGUCCCUGUUUGUCCCUUUGGCUGUGAGUGACUGUGCCCCAUUAAAGCUUUUUUAUUUUCUAAAAGAAAAAAAAAAGAAAAAAAAAAACAUUCUCCUCCAUUAAGGUCAUUCCUAACACUCACUGACAUCAUCAUUAACAAACUGCUCCUUUUUGAAAAACAUUAAAAAAACAGCCACAUGUGCAAAAAAAUAACAUUUAACAUUAAACUCAAACAACACUACACACACAAACACACACACACAGAGACAGAGACACACACACCUACCUUUCCUCUGGCUAUCAGCAGUUAAUAAAUAAGGGAAAUGAGCAGAAAGAGCUCAUUAAUAUCAGUGAAGGUGAGCUGCUAACAGCCCCAGGAGACUGCUACUGUUUAUACAUGAGAGGGAGAGGGAGAGAGGGGUGGUGGUGGGUGGUGAGGGUGUUCUCCAGAGCUAAAAAAUAAAACAACAAUGCCACUCCUUGAAUGGUCAUUCGAGGCCGGCACCACAAAGCCUGUCAGUUUCUCUUCUUUUACACACACAUGCAUUAUUAGCACAUAGGCACCGCAUUGACAUUGCUCCACCGUGUAUGAAGAGAGUUCCAAAUAUUUCCUUUUUUCCAUUCCUGAGAUAUUUCCAUUACAUCACUAUGUGCAGCACUUUCACGUCAUAGCCUGGAGGUCCUGGGUUUGACUUUGGAUAAUUCUGAAUGUGAGUGUGAUCAGCUGUGAUACCCCUGACGAGCUGCCACAGGUUUAUACUCGAUAGCUGAGAUCUGGU
Astatotilapia calliptera (eastern happy) is the source of this 1905-nucleotide long non-coding RNA. Lineage: Eukaryota; Metazoa; Chordata; Actinopteri; Cichliformes; Cichlidae. The record is from Ensembl.